UGACGCUACCCAACACUGGACCCUGAUAAAGGCGAAGAAAAUUUUGUGAAAUACAGAAAACAAACGAAAAUAAGCAGGCACUGGGAAAAUAAGCAGUCAGUCCUCAGUUAAAACACCACCAGUUCAAAUUCACUCCUCCGUUUGAUAGAAAACCGGAAUCAGAACCGAUAUAUAGUCGGCAAGUGUAUAAAAACCAAAAGACCAAAAAUGGCAGAGACUGUGAACAACCUUAAUGAACGUUUUCAGACAUUUAUGAACGGACUCAGCGACCGUUAUGAGCCGUACGUGCGCGAGCACCUGUCCAAGGUGUACAUGGUCCUGGGCAGCACUGCCGCCGCUACCGCAAUGGGCGCCCUUCUCCAGAUGCGUGGUUUCCUCGAUCUGGGCGUCCUGGCGGCGGUGGCCACACUAGUCCUUGUCCUGGGCCUGCACUUCUACAAGGACGACGGCAAAAACUACUACACACGUCUGAGCAUGCUAUACGCCUUUGGAUUCUGCUCCGGCCAGACUCUCGGACCACUUCUUGGCUACAUUUGCAGCAUCAAUCCGGCCAUCAUCCUGUCUGCCCUCACCGGAACCUUCGUCACCUUUGUCACGCUCUCCCUGGCCGCUCUGCUGGCCGAGCAGGGCAAGUACCUCUACCUAGGUGGGAUGCUGGUCAGUGUCAUCAACACCAUGGCUCUGCUGAGUCUCUUCAACAUGAUGUUCAAGUCGUACUUCGUGCAAGUGACUCAACUAUACGUCGGUGUUUUUGUCAUGGCCGCCUUCAUCGUUUAUGACACCCAAAAUAUAGUGGUGAAGUGUCGCAACGGCAACCGAGAUGUGGUCCAACAUGCGCUGGAUCUGUUCUUCGAUGUGCUCAGCAUGUUCCGCCGUUUGCUGAUUAUCCUGACGCAAAAGCUCAAGACCUUCAUGGUUUAAGGCGAUUCGUGCCAUAGCUCGAUAUCAGAUAUAAUCUCCGAACAGAGGUCGCUGAACACUUUGCAAAAGAUAGUCAAAAGUCUCGCUAUGAAAAAACCUUUCUCAAACGGAGGAGCGAAAACAGAAUGAACGCCGCAAGAGAAACUAAAGCUGGAAGCCCUAGAAGGAGGCCGCAGGGCGUUGGCUGUUUUCUCUUUUUAAAAUUUUAUUCGCAUACUAAAUAAACAGGCCGUGUAAUAUUUGGCUCUAAAAUUACAAAGCAUUA
RNA transcript from Drosophila serrata, 1186 nucleotides. It is a transcript of the gene named Bax Inhibitor-1, with no coding region annotated. The record is from RefSeq and is a predicted model, not a curated record. NCBI's taxonomy places the organism in Eukaryota, Metazoa, Arthropoda, Insecta, Diptera, Drosophilidae.